GACGAACGCUGGCGGCGUGCCCAAUACAUGCAAGUAGAACGCUGAAGAGAGGAGCUUGCUCUUCUUGGAUGAGUUGCGAACGGGGGAGUAACGCGUAGGGAACCUGCCUUGGAGCGGGGGACAACUAUUGGAAACGAUAGCUAAUACCGCAUAACACUGGGUGACACAUGUCAUUUAUUUGAAAGGGGCAAUUGCCACACUACAAGAUGGACCUGCGUUGUAUUAGCUAGUAGGUGAGGUAACGGCUCACCUAGGCGACGAUACAUAGCCGACCUGAGAGGGUGAUCGGCCACACUGGGACUGAGACACGGCCCAGACUCCUACGGGAGGCAGCAGUAGGGAAUCUUCGGCAAUGGGGGCAACCCUGACCGAGCAACGCCGCGUGAGUGAAGAAGGUUUUCGGAUCGUAAAGCUCUGUUGUAAGUCAAGAACGAGUGUGAGAGUGGAAAGUUCACACUGUGACGGUAGCUUACCAGAAAGGGACGGCUAACUACGUGCCAGCAGCCGCAGUAA
RNAcentral lists this ribosomal RNA (513 nucleotides) under uncultured bacterium. RNAcentral's name for it is "partial 16S ribosomal RNA". It matches the Rfam family "Bacterial small subunit ribosomal RNA", at positions 28 to 523 of the family's 1533-position model. The record is from RNAcentral.